Molecule: long non-coding RNA, 5568 nt
Filed under: Olea europaea subsp. europaea
Lineage: Eukaryota; Viridiplantae; Streptophyta; Magnoliopsida; Lamiales; Oleaceae
Source: RNAcentral
AAACACGGCAAAAUUGAAAAAAACACAACGAAACAACCCAUUUUCCAUUACUGUGCGUGAAAGCAGAAGACCCUCUACCUUCUUCCUGUGUAGUCGACCACCAUCGCCACCUAGAACACUAGAUUUCACAACGAUUCAAAAUUAUUGAAGUCUUUUUGCUAAAAUGAAAACUAGUUACUAUUCACAUUUGCCCAAAAACACAUAAACCAAAAACUUGUAUAAUUAACAAUGGAUCACUACAUGAUUGUUUGUCUUUUACAGUUUUUUUUUUAUUAUUAUUUUAUUUGAAUUUGGGUGAUUUUGCUUGAUUGAUCAUCGAAUUUAGCGAUUAACGUCAUUAACGUGCCGAAAAUUUUAAAAAGACUUGCUUUUAGGUCUAUCCCUUGCACCUUUUAACCCGUUUGUGUUUUACUGCUUCUGCCUCUCUUAUUAUCGAAAAUCACUUUCUGGGUUCUGUAGAUACUGUAUAAAAUCUGUUGAUUUUCUUGGUAUUUUUUCUAUUUCUUUACUUUAUUUCGUUACAUUUUAUGGUUAUUCUACUAUGACAAUGUUUAGCAUACUCUUCUUUUAUCAUUUCUUUGUUAUAUUUCGUGAUUUUUUUGCUAAAUUUGACUAGAUGGGAAGUUGAGUAAUGCAUCUAUAAUUUAUUCGAUUCUGAUAUGAAAUCUAAUGCGGGAUUAUUAGAAAAUUAUAUUUAUAUGCCCAUAUACAAAACAUCGCUUAAUCCAUAAAUAUGACUCCUAGCUCAGUAACUAUAAUUUUGUUUUUUCCUUUUUUUUUGGUUUUUUCCUUUUUUUUUUGGGUGAUCCAUAAAUCUGAUGUUUUUGAACGUGAUGAAUAGUUUAUGCUCUAAUUUUGUCAAGGUCUUUAAUGACAACCUUGGGCUUUUGAAUUUGAGAAUCGUUACUUGGUUCAGUUUUAGUUUUGUCACUUUGAGAUUUAGGGGAGGAAGCUGCACAAUUAUCGUGUACUUGUUUAGCUUUAACGAUUUUUACAAUAUAUGCUUGAGUAGAAGAAAGAGCAAGAGGUGUAUCAGUGUGGUUUGUAUUUUCAGAAAUGGCAACUUUAAAAGGACUAGUAUGUGCUUAUUGGCGAAGAAUCCAUUGAUGAAGAUAUUGAUGAAUAAUAGAACGCAUUAUCCUUAUCACCUCCAACUAUAUACUCCUGUUUAGUUAAUUAGAUUAGGUUCUAAUUUAUUUUGUAUUUAUCAUGUUCAUAGUUUAGACUUAUCUUUCACUAUAUUUUGUGUAUAAAUACACUACCAAUGUAUUCAAUAAAAUACAACGGAGAAUUUCCUUUUCAUGGUAUCAGAGCCAAACGAUUCACACCUUGUUCAUGGCUGAUUCUAUCUCUUCUCUACUUUCGCUCAGUACGAUGGUCCAUAUGAUGACCAUCGAACUCACUUCCUCCAAUUUUCCUUUGUCGCACAGUCAGUUUAUUCCCUUUUUUGAAAGCCAGGAUCUCAUGGGCUUCUUAGACGGAUCAUCCAUUGCACCUUCUCCUCUCAUUACUGAAGGAACUACCCGAGGUCCAAAUCCAGCCUACAAGAAAUGGCGUACUCAAGAGUGUAUGUUGCUCAGCCUCAUUUUUACUUCCUUGUCUGAGGAGUGUAUGGUCGAGGUUGUCAAUUGUGCUACUACACGUGAUGCUUGGUUGACUCUCGAAAAAUCUUUUUCUCACAGCUCCAAGACACGUGAAAUUCAGCUGAAAGAUGAGCUUCAAUUGCUCCAGCGUGGCUCUCGUAGUGUGGCUGACUAUGCUCGCUCUCUCUGUGACCAACUCUCUGCCAUUGGGAAGUAGUUGAUAAUACAGACAAGGUGCAUUAGUUUCUUCGUGGUCUUGGCCCUGAUUAUAAUUUUUUUCUACCACUAUGCUUUCACAAUGUCCAUUGCCUUCCUUCGCCACCAUGGUCCCGCAAGCUCUUAGCCAUGAGCUCUUCUCUCGAUCCAUCCAUGGUGAAGUCCAACAACAAUCUGCUUUCAUUGCCAGCCACGACUUCUCCAUUAUUUCUGCUGGCCGAAACAAACACACUCCUUUUCCAAAAUGGACAGCCGCAACUCUUCCAAAUCUGCUGUUGUUACUUGCCAGUGGUGUGGCAAAGAUAAUCACACAGCUAAGAAGUGUUAUAAACUUGGCAAGUUGCUGAAAAAGGCUGAAGAUGGUGGUCUCAUUGAAGCUUUUUCAGCAACCUCUCUUGAAGACUCUCACGAAACCGAGUGGUAUACGGAUACAAGGACGACAUCGCAUAUGACUAAUGAUGCAUCAACUCUAGACUCCUCCAUCCCUUACAAUGGUAAUGAGAGGGUGUUUGUUGGUAAUGGUCAUUCUUUACCUAUAUCUCGUGUUGGUUCUAUUUCGUCUAUUGUUGCUUCCCAUUCGUUACCUAUGUCUAAUGUUCUUCUUGUUCCUGGCGUUACCAAAAAUCUUAUUUCCAUCAGUAAGCUUACUCAAGAGAACAAUUGUUCGAUAACAUUUUCUUCUUCCGGCUUUGUCAUACAGGAUCUGGCAACAAGAGCGGUGAAGAGAGUCGGCUGAUGUGAGAAAGGCCUCUAUGUACUUGAUCGUGCCCAUGCAAUUUUUUUGUCUUCUAUUGCUCUUUGUAAUAAUCAUGCUACCUCCAUCAUUUGGUAUGCACGUUUAGGACAUCCUUCUAUUAGGAUUUUGUCUUCUUUACAUAAGCAUGGUGCUAUUUUAAUUUCCAAUAAGAACAAUUUUAAUAAUGAUCGUUGUUUUGGUUGUCAAUUGGGAAAGAAUCAUCAUUUACCUUUCUCUAAUUUAGUUCAAUGUUGCUCUUUUUUAUUUGAACAAAUUCACCGUGACUUGUGGGAACCGUCUUUGAUUACCUCUCCUUCGGGAUUUAAAUAUUAUUGCGUCUUGAUUGAUGAUUUCUCUCGUUUUAGUUGGAUUUUUCCUCUCAAGAUUUCUUUGAUAUGUUUGUUCGUUUUGUCACUAAUGUCAAAAAUCAAUUUGAUAGGAACAUCAAAUCAUUCCAACGUGACGGUGGAACUAAGUUACUAAUAACAAAUUCACUUCUUAUCUUCAUGAGUGUGGUAUAAUUUAACGAAUAUCCUGCCCUUACACUCCAAACCAAAAUGGCAUUACCAAGCGUAAACAUAGGCAUAUCACCAAAAUCGGACUAACCUUGCUCUUUCAUUCUAAUGUUCCUUUACAAUUGCGGAUUGAGUCUUUCUCUACAGCUUGUUAUCUUAUCAAUCGACUUCCAUCACUGGUUCUUGGUAGCAAGACACCUCAUAAAGUAUAUUGUAUGGUAAAGUUCCUUUUUAUUCUUCUCUCUGAACCUUUGGAUGUUUAUGUUUUCCUUUUCUUCGUGACUAUAUGCCUCGCAAACUCUCUCCACGAUCUCUCCCUUGUGUAUUUUUAGGCUAUAGUUCACUUCAUAAAGGUUUUUGUUGUUUAGAUACAAAAUCUAAUCGUGAUUAUAUCUCUCGUCAUGUGCAGUUUUUUGAGGAUCAUUUUCCUUACAAGAACUCCACUCUUCCUUCCCAAGUCUCCACUGAUUUUGUCACCUUUUUGGAUCCUAUUGAUCCUUCUUUAUCUUGUGAACAAAUUGAUCCUAAAUAUAUGACUUCGAAGCAUCACAAGGCAUCUUCUACGUGUCUCCCAUGUGCUGACCUUAAUUGUACUUCUCAUCCUCUUCUUGAGUCUGUGCCUCCUUCAGCAACAUCUUAUGCUCCUCCAUCCGAGCUUGUGACUGUUUCAGGUGUCAAUCCACCCACUUCUUCCUUGUCAUGACUGCCACCAACUCCACAUCCUAUGAUUACUUGUUUAAUGAAUGGUAUUGUUAAGCCUUGUACUAUUCAUUUGUUAAUUGCUUUGUCAGCUCCUCCAUGGUUUCAUGUACAUCUUACUGUUAAAGAGCCGCGGGGUUUUAAGUCAGCCUUAAAACAUCAGGAAUGGCUUACUGCAAUGGAUGAUGAAAUAACAGUUCUCAAGCAAAAUAACACCUGGUGAUUGGUAUCUCGACCUUCUAAUCAUAAUGUUGUGGGUUGUCAUUGGAUUUUUAAAACUAAACUUCGUGCAGAUGGUACUAUAGAGCACCAUAAAGCUCGUCUUGUAGCACAGGGAUUUUCUCAGAAACAUGGCAUUGACUUUGAAGAGACUUCCAGUUUGAUCAUUCAUCCUGCUACGGUUUGAAUAAUCCUUUCUCUUGCUGCUAUGCAUGAUUAGCCUCUUUAUCAGCUUGAUGUUAAAAAUGCUUUCUUGUAUGGCUAUCUUUUAGAAGAAGUUUAUAUGGAACAACCUCUAGGUUAUGUUAAUUAUCAAUUUCCUACUCAUGUAUGUCGCUUGCAACAAGCUCUUUAUGGUCUUAAACAGGAUCCAAGGGCCUGGUUCCAAAGGUUCAGCUUCUUUUUGUUUUACCUUAGCUUUGUUACUAGUCAGGCCGACUCAUCUCUAUUUGUUUAUCAUGGCUCUCACGGUGUCAUCUAUUUGCUGUUAUAUGUCGACGAUAAGGUGAUUACUGGUAGUAAUGCUAAAAUGAUUCAUAACCUUAUUAAUCGACUUCCUACAGAAUUUUCUAUGAAGGAUUCAGGUAAUCUCCAUUAUUUUAUGGGCAUUGUGCUAAUUCAAAAUGACAAAGGGAUUUUUCUUAGCCAAUCUAAGUAUGCCUUGGACCUUCUGGAUCGUGCUGCUAUGAGAGAUUGCAAGCCUAUUUCCACCCCCUUUUUGGUUGGUUCUAAUCUUACUGAAUCUGGUGAGCCUCAUGCUGAUUCUUCACAGUUUUGGUCUCUUGCUGGAGCUUUUCAAUGUUUGACACUUACCCGCCCAGAUUUAUCUUACAGCGUUAACUCCAUUUGUCAAUAUAUGCACGCUCCUAUUACAGAUCAUUUUCAUGCCUUGAAACGUAUUCUCAGAUAUGUUAUAGACACCUAUCACUUUGGCCUUCAAUUGUCAAGAAACUCUUUUUCUAUGUUACUUGGUUAUUCUGAUGUAGAUUGGGCAAGAUGUCCAGACACUAGGCAUUCUACUACAGGUUUUGCGGUCUAUUAUGGCUCGAAUCUCAUCUCUUGGUGUUCCAAGAAAUAGACCUCUGUUUCUCAUUUCAGUACUGAGGCAGAAUAUCGAGCACUUGCUGUUCUAGCUGCCGAUCUUUCAUGGAUACUUCAGCUUUUUCGUGAGCUACAUAUCAAGCUAUCCUUGCCUCCAUCUAUGUUAUGUGAUAAUAAGAGUGCAAUGUUUAUUUCCUCCAACCCGGCCACCAAGUCCCGCUCCAAGCAGAUUGCCAUUGAUUAUCACUUCAUUAGGGAACUUGUGGCACAGCGGGAUCUCCACCUGAGUUUUGUACCCUCUUCGCUUCAACUUGCUGAUAUUUUUACAAAUGGGGUUGCAAAACUUCAAUUUUUCUUAGUUCGAUAAAAGUUGUGCAUUUUUCCUCAUUCAACCACACUGCCUUUGAAGGGGGUAUUGGCGGAGAAUCCAUUGAUGAAAAUAUUGAUGAAUAAUAGAAAGCAUUAUCCUUAUCCCCUCCGACUAUAUACUCCUGUUUAGUUAACUAGAUUAGGUUUUAAUUUAUUUAGACUUAUCUUUACUGUAUUUUGUGUAUAAACA